CACGAGGCCAGCGUCUCGCGAUCUGGUUACACAGGGCGUUUCUGCUCUGCCUUAUGUUUUUCAGAUACAAAGGGGACACCUGAGAAGACCGGAAAAUAACAGAAAGGGGCCCGGGAUGAAGACAUUCUGGGAAGGAAAUACCAAACAAGAGUUCCAUAGAGGAUUCUUCAGAAACCAUACCACGUCCCAAAGAUCAUUAACAUGGAUUCCAGGAAAUGAAAACGUGGGCAAGGACAGCCCCUUCUCCACCGCCCUGGCCUCCAGCCCCACAGGGCACCAGCCUGUGUGAGCACCCAGCAGACGCCGCUGCACUGAACCCUGAGGACUUUCUUUCCUCUUCUUCUUGGAUAUAUUAGCUCAUAAUUCCAAGUGUUGGAUAAGGUUGUGGUAAAUCUUUUAAAAAUUCUCUCAAAAAGCAAUAUAGUCAAUGGUUACGUGAUAAUGAUCAUGCAUUUACUCCCAAAAAGAAUAAGACAGCUGUUGUAUUGUUAGAGCAUGUGCCUGCAGCUGGGGACACGCUUUUCAGUGUCUGCAUCACACACACACUGAAGUGCCUCCAACAAGUAUGUGGAAGGGCCCAUCACGUGCCCUCGAUGGCCCAGGAAGGGGCCAGUGCUGAUGGAGACACAGCCCCAAGGCACUCAUGCAAUAUAACACAAAUUUAACAACAGGAACAAUAAAAUAAAACAAGCUCUGGACACUGCCUCUCUUCCUCUAAUCAGGAGACGGCCCAUUCCCUGGUUUCCGGCUAGGCCCACUGUUUGGGACAGCAAACCCAGGGGCAGAACAGCCCAGGGGCCCCCUUAGGAUCUGGACAUGAGCAACUGGCACUGGGUGUGGUGUGGCGUCGCCUGCAGCCCACCAACCUAGCACAUGGAACCUGUCUCACUUUCUGGCCAAGUGACCCAAGGUACGGCCCUGACCCACAUCACAGGGUGGUCCUGAGAAUGAAAUGGCACAACAAAUGGGAACGAUGCUGCAGACCCGGGAGGACUCUGACCCUGCGGGCUUCAGGAAGCAUCUCACCAAACCACCACACAAACGGUA
Molecule: long non-coding RNA, 1047 nt
Filed under: Homo sapiens (human)
Lineage: Eukaryota; Metazoa; Chordata; Mammalia; Primates; Hominidae
Description: HSALNT0036030
Source: RNAcentral